CUGAACGACAUGGUAUUUUGAAGCCCCUUGAAAACUCUUACCUCCAACUCCAUACAUCACUACUUGAGUUGAUGAAGUAUACCAAGUCCCGUUGCAAAGGUUACAAAGAGUACUUCUCAAAAUACCAAGAGGACUUGGACAGCAGUCUGAAUGAAGAUAAAAGAAUCGAAUGUGGCCUGCAGUUUGCUGUGCAACUUCUGCCAUCGCUUUUUAGAGAGGAUGCGACGUAUCUACUCGCUGAUUCGAAUGAGAAUAUCAAAUCUCCAGCUCCAGUUCUUACCUGUGAAGGAGGCGAAUACCAGCUUCACAUCAACGGGGCACCUCUUCUGGCAACAAAAUCAUCAAAGUUUACAAAUGCUUUGGAAGCUCUGUUUCAGUCAUAUUGGGUAUUUUCGUUGGAAUACCCGAAGGAAAUAGAAAAGACGUUACUGUUCUUAGAGUCAUACAUAUUUCAACAC
This is a long non-coding RNA of Eriocheir sinensis (Chinese mitten crab), 458 nucleotides long. RefSeq lists it as uncharacterized. The transcript has 3 exons. NCBI's taxonomy places the organism in Eukaryota, Metazoa, Arthropoda, Malacostraca, Decapoda, Varunidae. The record is from RefSeq and is a predicted model, not a curated record.